CAUCUUUUUCAGAGAGCACGGGCGAGCUAUGACGCAGAGGACUGGGAUGCAUAAGUUGGGGUGGAUAUAAUAUCCGUAGCACGGGGCGACAGACUCGAGGAGGUGCCAAGGGGGAACGCGCAUGAAAAUCUCAAGGAUCUACCAAACGCUGGCACCAAGGCGCAAAAUCUGAAGAAUCUAAGAAUCUAGAAGAAACGGUCGCCCGGAAAGAAGACUGUUUAGACAGUUUUAGAUAUGUGCUAUAAACAGACGAACCGUUCACGACCGUCCUGACUGAUGAAGGCCCUAAUUCCCAACGCGACGACUCUUCGUUGGGCCUGGAGAGACGAAACGUGGCUUGGAGCCGCGGACGCGUCAACACGUAUGCCUUGAACCUGGUCGAAAGUGCAAGUGGAUCGGCAUCGUGGCAAGCCGUGGCGAGCGUGGCGUCGGCCGGGGUGAAGAGGGGGAAGGAGAGACCGCGAGAGAGACAUGUACAGUUGCUGCCGACCGAAACGGUUUUUGGUCGCCUUCGACGAAAGUGAAACGGCCUUCGGGAAGGAGCUCAGCGCGUGCAUAUGGACGCCAUUGAACUAGUGACCUUCAUAUGAGAACCGGUCUUUGUUCAGGGCCCUUAGAGUUAGCGACCUAGCUCGCCGCGGGCCCUACCUAGGCCCGCUUCUUCUGUAGACAACGAGUCAUUUACAUGUGGCCGACCCGGCGCGAUUACCCUUCAGCCUGCUCGCGGAUCGAUCGUUCCCGGAUUCGAUUUGAGGAAAAAAAAAGUAGGAUUUCGGUGAAAAUCGAUCGGGAAAAUCGGAGGCCGCCGGAGGGAUGAAAAUUCUGCGCGAAGAGCGAGAACCGUGCGAGGACGUCGGUCGAAUUUAUUACCUACGGCAGUCAGGAUCGAGGAAUCUCAUCGCUUCUUUUUUAUACGGAUCUUUGACUUGCAAAAUGAAAUCUUUAAACUUUGAUAAAGAAGCGAGCGAUAAAUUUCUGCGAGCGAUAAAUGUCUCUGCGUCAUCAAAGUCAGGGUUGAUGUCUGGAAGGUUAUCUAGGAUUUCAAUGUUUUUGGCGAUUUGUAUCGUUAAUGUGCUCGAAACUCAUUCGAUUUUCCUCAGUUACGAUAUCGAUCGCGAUACCAAGUCAUUCCGAAGCCUAUCGAGCGUAUAAAUAUCCUGUGCUGUGCACUGUUGCAAGCAUCUUGCGAGGGGAGUGCCUGCUGCUUUCGCCACGAUUAUCCGCGAUACGUACCCGUUCUAGUCUUGGUAACGAUAAAUCGCGAUCGAAAGUUCCCUUUGCCGCGCGAGUUUAAUGCUCGAGGGAGAGCACGGGGGAUUUAUCCGCGUACCGAGACCCACGAGCGAAAUAGUCGCCAUAAAUCCAUUGCAUCAUUUGUCUUUCUUCAAUCAAUUAAACGGGACUGACGAGAGUCAGUAAAUCUGUAGAGUCAGAGUAAAUCUGUAACGUACGUGCGUGCGUGAAAACAAACGCGCUAUCGCAACGAUUGCCGGCGCGUUGUUGCCACUUUCAGACAUGCAAAAAUUCUAACAUUCGGUCUCGCGAUAUUAAAUAAAAUCAAAAUAAUAUCGAAUUAUGCAUCAAAAUUAAAGAUCACAGAUAAGAGGGAUGUAUCUUUAAUUUGGAGAUAGAUCGAAUCUUAAUUCGCGUUGCGAUAAAAUAUGAUUAGUACGAGGAAAGUAUGCCGUUAAGAAGUUGAUAAGCUUUUUGAGCGACAGGUAGUAAACCAUGACCUGUCGCAAAGCGUCUCACGUGGUUUCUGCGAGGUGUAGCUUAGCAUCGGCGUAGUCGUUAACUGUGCAUCGAUCGUGUGCAAGGUACAAUCGUGCGCGAAUCGCGCGGAUCAUCCGUACCUUCGGCAGUCGCUACUGUUUUAUUCGAGUUGUAGUUCUUUUGCACUUUGCACGAUACGUUGCACCGCUCGCGUGUCACCGAUAAAGAAUGCGAAUUCGUGGACGAAUCGGGCGAUCGAAAUUUAUCUAUCUAAGAACACGCCGCGAUGCGAAUCGACAUAUAAACGACAAAAAAGGAAUAAUUGCUCGGCGCGAUUACGAAAUUGCCGCGCCGUGCAGACGGCGGCGGUAAGCUGUGUCAUAUCACCUGCGAUAAUUUGCGUUAACAUUGAGACCGAGCACGGUCGGUUAGAGGACGGUCGGACUGAUAUCGUAUCUGCACAUGUGAAAGCAUCGUAUCAGUUUGUUUCCUUAACCUCGUAGCCUUCAUCUCUUUUAAGUAACGGAUAUCUCACGAGCGGUGAGACAAGAGCACGGUGCAAGUACGACUUAUUUGCUGUGCCCCGAAUUGAAAAGGUAGCGCGGUGCACGGUGUAGUAGGACCCUUCUGCACGAAUCCCACCGGAAUGAAUAAAUCUGUGCAAAUUUAUUCGACGACAAUCUGCGUAAUCCACGACGGAAUUACAUGAAAUUGUAUAUACAAACAGAUAAUCUCAUAGAAAUUUACCUCCGCAAGAUAGUAUUGUAAUAAAGUGCUAGCGUCUGCAGCGUGCCUGGCCGCGAACUUGGUUAAUUUGAUACUCUUAUCUUAUUCAAUAUCGGGUGUGUGUGUGUGUGUGUGUAUGUAUAUAUGUGUAUAUAUAUAUAUAUAUAUAUAUGUGCGUGUGUGUGCGCGCGCACGCGCGUGUGUAUGUAUGUACGUGUGAGCACUUUGUCUAUUUACGAUUCUUAUCAGUCUAAUACAAAAUAUUACAAAUAUACUAUUGUGAACGAAGACACACGUGACAUAUCACCGACUUUUAAUUACUAUCUCAAUAUGAUUCUCGUUAAUAGUUUACGAAUUUCGAGUUUACGAUCAGUCUUGGUUUUGCGGAGUUUAUGUUGGCGACCUACCACAAAAUGACGCUUGUAGCGUUAACAGAAAUUUGUAUUUCCAAAUCACUAUACGAUACCAUAGUAUCGCAUUCUUGCGACUUUGACAUUGAACCUCUUAUCAAGGAGUUGGUUGGUAUUAUACCCCGCGAAAACAACGAAGCGAAUAUCUGGUUUAGCGGAAUCCAGAAAAGAUAAUCUGGCGGAAAUACACAGUUGAAAAAAAUCCGAACUUCCAAAUUCAUUUCAAAGUGCGAUUGAGUCUCUUUUUGAUACUGCGAUACUUUUUUACGAGACAUGUGAGAAUGUUAAUGAGGAAAAAAUGUUAUUGUUGAUAUUCCAUACUAACUGCAUUCCCGUCAAACUAUAUUUCGAAUCAAAAUUUUAACUCUUUGUUACUUUACAGAUCCUACCUAGCUUGAAAGACUAUUAAAGAAUCUUGAAAUAUAAUAUUGUAUAAAUUACCUUGAUGCUGCAAAUAAUUAAGUACCACCGAAUUUUUUCAUAUAGAAUUAUCUUUUAAAAAAGAAUUUAUAUUUUACUGUUAUUUUACUAUUAUUUAAUGUUAUUUUAAUAUUCUAUCUGUACUUAAUGUUUAUUCUCAAUUUUAAUAAGCGAGAUAUAUUAAUUAUGCAAUCUACAUAACUGUAAGUAGAAUAUGCAAAAUAAGUAAAUAUUAAAUAAUUAACAUGCAUAAAUAAUGAGAUUAAUUUUAUUAUUUUUCUUUUUGCAGUUGAAAACUCUGACUUGAAGAUUUAAAAAGAGAAGGAAAGAUUUAAAAAUGAGAAGGAAAGAAUUGCGUGUCCAAUAAUGCUGCGCACCAACAGAGACUUAAAUUUGGUAUCGGUGAAAUAACAAGAUUAAACAAAAGUGAAAAAGACAGUUUCAAGUAACAAUAUCAAGUCGAGAAAUCCCGCGACCCAGCAUUAUUAGACACUUGCGAGAUUUACAAUAGGUCCUUAGGCCGACAGUUGCUAAUUUCUUAUACGAUUUUUAAUCGAAAGAAUAAUUAAUUACACAUUCGUAUUCAUUCCUCCCCUCCAUCACUAACUCUGCUUGAUCAAUAUUUCCUGUUGUAUAAAAUAUGUGCUAGCAUAGACUGAUGAAAAAUCACCACUUCAUAAAACUCUAAUCGUCAGACUACAAUUUAUUAAAUGAUAACAAAUCACGAAUACCGACCUAAAUUUCGACUCACAAUUAUCUCCUUAUUCGCGAUACAUAAAUGCGUUAAACGUCAUAAAUGAAAUCGUAAACGCCCAUAUAUUGAACGACGAUUAACUCACCUGGAAACACAUGAUAUAUCGCUGCCCGGCGUUCUGGUUGUCCGAUUGAGAAACUCGGCUCCUGGUGAAGUUCACGGACUCUCGACGCACUUACACUCGCGCAGAUACAACGAUUCGGUCGGAGAAACGAGUAUUGAAUAACGCGAUGCCGACAAGCACGGUGAAAUAGUUUUCGAACUGAUGGAAUUAUUAUAACUAACGCGCUCCGAGACAUGUGCUACGCGCGUCGCUCGCCGAUGCGCAACACAAUGAGACACGCGGAAGCGUACGCGACAUACGUAGGUAAGUUUAACCGCCGCGAAGGUCCUUAAUGUUUGGAUCACUCGGCCGGAGGCGAACGGCCACGCUGGCUGAUUGAUGCCGGAUGACGUAGCACUUUUUUGCCCAUUGUUUUGGUUCUCUCGCGCAUCGCGUGCUUUUCCGUGUACAGGUAUUUACAU
Molecule: long non-coding RNA, 4548 nt
Organism: Odontomachus brunneus
Lineage: Eukaryota; Metazoa; Arthropoda; Insecta; Hymenoptera; Formicidae
Exons: 3
Source: RefSeq, a predicted model, not a curated record